This 103-nucleotide ribosomal RNA is filed under the name Gossypium arboreum. Lineage: Eukaryota; Viridiplantae; Streptophyta; Magnoliopsida; Malvales; Malvaceae. The record is from RNAcentral.
GGGUGCGAUCAUACCUGCACUAAUGCAGCGGAUCCUAUCAGAACUCUGCAGUUAAGCGUGCUUGGGCGAGAGUAGUACUAUGAUGGGUGACCUCCUGGGAAGU